This 2481-nucleotide ribosomal RNA is filed under the name Triticum aestivum (bread wheat). RNAcentral's name for it is "partial small subunit ribosomal RNA". The record is from RNAcentral. Lineage: Eukaryota; Viridiplantae; Streptophyta; Magnoliopsida; Poales; Poaceae.
AUGAGGUCAUCAGCCCCACGUCGCCUCGGCAGGGCUACACGUCUCGGAGCGGAUCGACCGCGACGCCGCCACGCAGCCCGACCUGGAGGAGGCGCUCGAGGCCUCGCGCUACGCCUCCCACCCCUACUCCUCGCAUCCCGCGAAGCUGCACGAGCCCCUCUCCAUCUCUCUGUCCUUCCUGGAGAUGAGAGAGGCUCGGCUGCUCCUUGUAGGUUGGUGGUGAGGAGCAAGGGGGCCGAGAAGUCAGCCGCCAACGGGAAGAAGGGCAAGGCCGACAAGAGUUCUUUGUUCGCAGACAAGCAGGGUUUCUUCCUGCCAGUAGCGAUGUUGGAAAAGAUCGGGUUGCCGCCCAAGCCGUCGAUGCGAGGGGCGACCUGGGUGCUGGAUGCCUCCAACUGCCAGGGCUGUGCCGCUCAGUUCUCCUUGUUUACACGGAAGAUUGGCAAGGCCGGUGGUGAGAAGUGGAAGUCCCAAGUGAUGUUCAACGACGAGGUCGCUACACCGAGCCUGUCGGUCCGCAGCGGCGACCCAGGGCAGGGCUGCAGCAAGGACGCCCCGAAGGACGGGCCGCCGAGCGACGGCGACGACGGAGGUCGCUACACCGAGCCUGUCGGUUGGUCUUACGAGAAUGGAGAGCUGCUGCUGAUCUACGAGUACAUGCCCAAUGGCAGCGUAGACAAGCACCUGUUCCACGAAAGGCAGCAGCACCGUGGCCACCAACAGCCAGUUCUGCCCUGGGAGAGACGCUACGACAUUGUGAAGGACGUCGCCGCCGGUUUGCACUACGUCCACCACGAGUACGAGCGCACGGUGCUCCACCGCGACAUCAAGGCCAGCAACAUCAUGCUCGACUCCGCCUUCCGCGGCCGCCUCGGCGACUUCGGCCUCGCGCGAGUCGUCGGCUUCGACAAGAACUCCUUCACCGACGUCGGCGUCGCGGGCACCUGGGGCUUCAUCGCGCCGGAGUACCCCGUCAGCCACAAGGCCACCCGGCAGACCGACGUCUACGCGUUCGGGGUGCUGGUCCUCGAGGUCGUCACCGGCAGGAGGUCGCUCGGCAAAGCGGACGACGAGUUCCCGCUGCUCGUCGACUGGGCCUGGUGGCUCCAUCAGGAGGGGAGGCUGCUCGAAGCGGUUGACGCCGAGCUCCGAGCUUCGGAGGCGGGGUUCGACGCCGACGAUGCCGCCCGGCUGCUGCUCCUUGGUCUGUCCUGCAGCAACCCGAACCCAUCGGACCGGCCGACCCUGGCCAACGUGCUGCAGGUUGUCGCCAGGACGGCACCGCUGCCGGACGUGCCGCUGGUGAAGCCCGCGUUCGUGUGGCCGCCGGAGGGGGCGUUACUGGACGACGACGUGGAUGAUGGUUUUGCGGGGACGAGCCGUGAUGAUUCUCGUUACUGGGAGGAGGAGGAGACCAUGCCGAGCUUCAUUGCGUUCGGCCGUCGUUUCGAGGUACAUAACAUCCGCCGCCGCCGCUGCGGGAAGAUGGCCUUGCCGGCGAUCCCCGAUGAGCUCCUGGUGGAGAUUCUCCUCCGCCUCCCCACCGCAGCCGAUCUCAUCCGCGCCUCCGCCGUCUGCGUCUCCUUCCGUCGGCUCGUCGCCGACCGCUCCUUCCUCCGGCACCGCUUCAAGUUCGCCGUCCCGCCUCACCCCCCGCGCUGGCGCCAGCGCCGCCGACUUCUCCUUCGCCUUUCUCCCCGCCCCUGCGCCGGACUGGUCCAUACGGGAAGUCCGCGAUGGCCGCACAAGCACCUGUUCCACGAAAGGCAGCAGCACCGUGGCCACCAACAGCCAGUUCUGCCCUGGGAGAGACGCUACGACAUUGUGAAGGACGUCGCCGCCGGUUUGCACUACGUCCACCACGAGUACGAGCGCACGGUGCUCCACCGCGACAUCAAGGCCAGCAACAUCAUGCUCGACUCCGCCUUCCGCGGCCGCCUCGGCGACUUCGGCCUCGCGCGAGUCGUCGGCUUCGACAAGAACUCCUUCACCGACGUCGGCGUCGCGGGCACCUGGGGCUUCAUCGCGCCGGAGUACCCCGUCAGCCACAAGGCCACCCGGCAGACCGACGUCUACGCGUUCGGGGUGCUGGUCCUCGAGGUUGUCGCCAAGACGGCACCGCUGCCGGACGUGCCGCUGGUGAAGCCCGCGUUUGUGUGGCCGCCGGAGGGGGCAUUACUGGACGACGACGUGGAUGAUGGUUUUGCGGGGACGAGCCGUGAUGAUUAUCGGUACUGGGAGGAGGAGGAGACCAUGCCGAGCUUCAUGUCGUCGGAGAUCACCAAGCGCAGGGCUCGGAAUGUUGAUCAGCACAAGGACGCGGGGGAGAUAGAGAGUUACGUUGUGACGAGCCGUGAUGAUUCUCGUUACUGGGAGGAGGAGGAGACCAUGCCGAGCUUCAUGUCGUCAGAGAUCACCAAGCGCAGGGCUCGGAAUGUUGACGAGCACAAGGACGCGGGGGAGAUAGAGAGUUAUGUGUAA